Long non-coding RNA from Gossypium raimondii (Peruvian cotton), 280 nucleotides. RefSeq lists it as uncharacterized. Lineage: Eukaryota; Viridiplantae; Streptophyta; Magnoliopsida; Malvales; Malvaceae. The transcript is spliced from 3 exons. The record is from RefSeq and is a predicted model, not a curated record.
CUUUCCUUGUUGUUUUUCCUUCUGUUGCCUCUUUUCUUUCAUUCCUUGUUCCGCUUUCUUGCUGUUUUUCUGUGUUGCUGGACAUUUGAGAUUUAGGUGCUUCUGCUUAAUUUGGAGAAGUUCGUGAAACGCACGACAUCCUUCCAUUGAGUUAGGAGAUUUUUAGGAUAGUCGCUUUUGUUUUGGGUGUGUAACGAAAAAAUUGAAAAGUUGUAAACGGUGCGAAGCCAAAAAGUGAACUGUCAAUACGACAUGCCCGUGUGGGCCAUACAGGCGUGAG